This 258-nucleotide unclassified non-coding RNA is filed under the name plant metagenome. Its description in RNAcentral is "partial contains small subunit ribosomal RNA, internal transcribed spacer 1, and 5.8S ribosomal RNA". The stretch from base 1 to 54 matches the Rfam family "Eukaryotic small subunit ribosomal RNA", at positions 1778 to 1831 of the family's 1831-position model. The record is from RNAcentral.
GGAAGUAAAAGUCGUAUCAAGGUUUCCGUAGGUGAACCUGCGGAAGGAUCAUUACUGAGUGAGGGCCCCUCGGGGCCCAACCUCCCACCCGUGUUUAACGAACCUUGUUGCUUCGGCGGGCCCGCCUCACGGCCGCCGGGGAGCAUUUGCCCCCGGGCCCGCGCCCGCCGAAGCCACCUGUGAACGCUGUCUGAAGUAUGCAGUCUGAGACAAUUAUUAAAUUAAUUAAAACUUUCAACAACGGAUCUCUUGGUUCCG